This 29-nucleotide non-coding RNA is filed under the name Rattus norvegicus (Norway rat). Lineage: Eukaryota; Metazoa; Chordata; Mammalia; Rodentia; Muridae. The record is from RNAcentral.
UGACUAACGGCCAGUAUUGACCUACCUCA